This 253-nucleotide ribosomal RNA is filed under the name uncultured bacterium. RNAcentral describes it as "partial 16S ribosomal RNA". It matches the Rfam family "Bacterial small subunit ribosomal RNA", at positions 524 to 776 of the family's 1533-position model. The record is from RNAcentral.
UACGUAGGGGCCGAGCGUUGUCCGGAGUUACUGGGCGUAAAGCGCGCGCAGGCGGCUCGUCAAGUCUGCCGUGAAAGCCCCCGGCUCAACCGGGGAGGGUCGUCGGGGACUGGCGAGCUUGAGGUCGGCAGGGGCGGGUGGAAUUCCCGGUGUAGUGGUGAAAUGCGUAGAGAUCGGGAGGAACACCCGUGGCGAAGGCGGCCAGCUGGGCCAUUACUGACACUCAGCUGCGAAAGCGAGGGGAGCAAACAGG